Molecule: long non-coding RNA, 4677 nt
Organism: Hirundo rustica (Barn swallow)
Lineage: Eukaryota; Metazoa; Chordata; Aves; Passeriformes; Hirundinidae
Exons: 3
Source: RefSeq, a predicted model, not a curated record
ACAAGAAGCUGGGAGGGAGCACAGGCAGGAGAGCAGACCCAAACUGUCCAAAGGGAUAUUCUGUACAAUGGGAUAUCAUGUUCAGUAUGAAAACUGGGAGAGUUGCUGGAAGGGGCUGAUCACAGCUUGGGGAAGGGCUGGGCAUUGAUCAGCAGAACUUCUGCCUUCAACAAGGAUUGCCCCACAAUCAGUGAAAGAAACCCAAACAAUUUCCUCCUAUGCUUUUGGAGCCACAGGGCAAAAGUAUCCUCGUUGGCACCAUCUGACUGCAGACCUUCCUCUUGAUCUGGAUCAGAAAACUGACAAAGUGCUCUAACCAACAAGUUUGUUGCUUCGUGCUCAGAAAUAAAGAAAAGAAGACCCUUCUGUGACUGUGCCAGGAAACGCAAUAUAUCUCGGAUAGCCUGAAGCACACCUGGAUGUGCACCUGUCACUGGAAGAGACAGUAGCAAGGUAAUGCAUUCCAAGAAAUGGUGACUGUGCAGAUAUCUGAAAAAAAAACCAAAAAACAAACCAAAACCAGGAAAGUAAUCAGCAAUGCUACAAAUAUUUGUCAACACUGCACAAUAACAUUAUAUAAAACUACGUAUCUUCUAUCUUCAGUACUUAUUGCUCUGUGGACUACAAGAAAUAAUAACUAAUCGUGAAGUAGUACAAAACUUAAACCUUACAAAAUGUAACUGCUAUACUAUUUAUAAGAAAUAAGUCCUAGAAUUCUGAUCUCCAUAAAAAAACCCCAAACAAAAAAAACCCUCAACCAUAUCUACACACAAAACAGGACACUGUAUUUUAUUAAAUUUGCUGCAUCUGAAUCAUCAUCAGUGGCAGAUUCAAUGUUUUAAAUGUGCUAGGAAAUCAAUCAUUAUAGCACAUCUAGCAGACAAUUUCUGAAGAUUCUUUGCUUGUAGAUGCUUAUAUUCAGCCAUGACCCACACAACUGCUACCAAAGAAAUCUGUCAGCAUUUAGAGAAGCACUUUCUAGACAGAAACUUGCUAAAAGAGUAAGAACCCACAAGAUGUUUUAACUGGCUGAAGGCAGGCCUGUGCUGUGAAAGUGAGCUACAGAGACACGACUGUAUGACCUCUUCAUGAAUCUGAGGCCAGUUUGCAUCUUGCCACCCCAACAUGCAGACUGAGAAAUUCCAGACCUAUUUUAUCCAUACACAUAGACAUGUUCCAAGAUGUCAAAUGAAGCACUCUAGAUUUGCAACCAUUUUCAAACUGGACAGCACCUAGCAUAACCAGUCAGCACCUGUGAAUGCAACUGAGAGGUGAGCACAUGACCAGUAAUAAGGAGACGUUAACUUCUGGCUAGGUGCAUUCUACAUUGAUUGAAAGCCAGCGAAAUAACAGAUAUAUUAACUUAUCAAACCCUCUCAGACCUUAUAUGCACAAUCUAGAAUCUGGCAUAAAGAAAUACGUGAAAUAUCUAACAAAGUGUUAUUCAAAAAAGUCACCCUUGAAAUAGAUCCCUAUCAAGCUGGAGGAAAUACACUCUAGAAAGUGAAUUUGCAACUGCUGUACCUAAACAGGACAGGGUAAGGAUCAUCCCUUUCUGGAGGGCCUGUAAUGCGUGCCAUGGUCGGGAAAGAUUUCACAGGUGGCUGAAUCAUUGUAUGAGGAGCAGUUUCCAUCAAAUGGAAGAUCUCUUCAAGAAGACUAACAAGUUUUUCCAUCUCUCCUUCGCUUAUAUUAGACGAUUCCAAAAGAUGAUCCAUGUCCAUAGGAGCCUCCACAUCAUUUUCAUAUUCUUGGUUGGUUCUUUCAAGUCCUGCCAACUCCUGAUCCUGUUCUGGCUCUGUGUGAUUAGGAAGAGGAGGAGUGCUCUCUGCUAACUGAUCAACCACCUUUUUAAUGUCUGACAGAAUCUCGUAGAAGUGACAUUUCUGGAGAAUUGCAGAACCAGCUGUAACAACUCGCACAGUCUGAUCUAAGAGUAUGAGUUCCAGGAGUUUCUGAUAACCACUUUUUUCAUGUACAUCUGUGCCACCUCUUAGAAACAUUUCCAUUCCCUCAGUCAUACUAAUAACACUAUCCAAAGCCUUAAAAGCAUUAAGUUUAAGGGAGGAUGAUACAUGAUCUGCAAACAACAGUUCAAACAACACAUUAAUAACUCCUGCCUGCAAGAGUGCCGUGAUUCCUUGAGUCCCACAUUCUGCUAACGAAGACACCAAUUUUGUCCCAGCUUUGAGCUGUCGAACGUUCAAAGCAAUGGGCUGUUUGAGAGCCACCUGAAGGUUUAAAGCUUGCAGGGUCCAGUCUACUAGGCGGGUAAUAUAGUCUUGCUUUGUGUCUUUUACCAGCAGGUAGCUCAAUUCUUUUACUAUUAAACUUGGAAUUUCUUCUAAUGCAGUGACCCACUUUGCACCCCUUUCCUCUUGAUAUAAUUCCAACAGUUCAGUUAAUUUAACUGAGCCUUCCACUGCCCCUGAAUUUUCUUUUUCUGAUUCUUGGUCCUUUAUUUUCGCAACUUCAUUUUCAAAUACAGUCUUGUAAGGGCAGCUGAAGUAUAAAAGUGGUCCAAGCUCCUUUUCAAAAGGUUCAUAUGUCACAGGAGGCACAGAUGCCAGAUCCUCAGGAGUAUAUUCAAUAUCAAAGCUUGGAUACUUAAAUGUUUCACGUUCCAGAUCAGCAAUUACAUCUUCAUCACUUGAAAUCUGCUCAUAGCCAUCAUCUCCUAAAAAGAGAAAGAUUAAGUUACCAAAUCAGUUAUGAAUAAGCCAGUUCAUAACUGUGGAGAAUAUCUUCCAAAUACAAAGUAGCGAUUCAUUUUACACAAAUAUUACUAGCAAGAGAACAAUGUCAUAUUAACAUAAAAAAAGAUUUCUCUCUUUCAAGACACGAGUGGAAAGUUCCAUUUGACAGGUGAUUUUUUUGUAAUAAUGGAGUCAUUUAAAAUAAUGUAUAAAGCAAAAAGUUUAACUAGAGUACACAUUACUACAAAUAUGUUGUCCGAUUUUCUUCCAAUGAUUGCAUCUAUCAUAAAACUUCUAGCCUGAAAUUUUUGCAUAGACAUAGGUGGGAUCUUUAAGUAAUACAAGAAGAUGACAACUAACUUUAUUACAUAAACAACUUCAUUUGGGUUUUACUUAAGAAAUAAUCUUUCACCACUUUCCUACGUUUAUAAACAAAACACAACAAGAUUGAAUGUUCAUUCCCACCUAUACAACUGUAUCUAUUUUCCUCUGUUUAUAGAAAGUUUUACUAAAAAGGAAUAAAUAUCCCACAGCAAAAUAAUGUUCUUGAGAGAUAUCAUGACUACAAAUAAGACAAUGUUGCAAUAACCAAGGGAAAAAUAUUCGGUUCCCGUUGCACAUAUUAAUCAUGAAGAAGCUGCCAUCAAAAUUUCAUAAACCUUUUUUUCUAAACACUUUACAACUUACCAUCACCUUCUUCCUCCUCUUCACCCUCUUCUUCAUCUUCAUCAUCUUCCUCCUCCUCCUCUUCUUCUUCAUCAGCAAUACUCUCUACUGUAUGACCAUCAUCAUCAUCAUCAUCAUCGUCGUCGUCCUCAUCCUCCUCCUCCUCAACAUCCACAUCAUCAUCAUCAUCUUCCCCUUCUUCUGGUUGAUCUUCCUCUACUUCUCCAUCAUCAGAAUACUGGCUUUCUUGAUGAAUGGAUGUUCGAUCUGGAGAAAUCGGCUCAAAGUAAUCCUCCCUAUGGUCCACAUCAUCUUCUUUUUCCCCAACCACUAAAAACAAAUACAAAGUUUCAGAAAUAAGAGCACUUUUCUGAAAUUCAAAGAUAUUACACAGGCCUGGUCCUAUGAGUGGAUCCCAUAUGGUCCCAUACACUUGGGCUGACCAUUCCCUCCUUGAUUAUUAAGGGCUCAUUCUGCCCCAUGUCUGUCUUCCAGCCCAGGGUACCAGGAAAGUAACCGAUCUUCCUUUUAAAGACUGAGGCAAAGAAGUCAUUAACUACCUCAGCCUUUUCCACAUCCUUUGUCACCAUGUAUCCCCCUCCAUCCAAUAAAGGAGAUUCUCCUCAGCCCUCUUUCUUUUGCUAAUGUAUUUAUAGAAAUAUUUUUAUUGUCUUUAAUGGCAGUAUACAUGUUUUAAGUUCCUGCAUCGCAUAUAACAGAGAUACAAAAAAAAGCAACUUGAAAAUCUUCACGUGAUUUAACUGAACACAAUCACUUAGUUCAUUAAGGCUAUGAACAUGCAGAGUUCUUGAUGCUUUUAACCGAUACAGAGACCAUGGCAGAUGCUGCAAAAUAAUCAAGGACAAUGGAUACCAGAGCCAACAGAACACUUAUGUAAAACAUGAGCAGCAUAUUCAACAGUGUAUAGGUCAACAGCCAAUAUUCUCAAUCUACCAUCUUUUAAAAUUAUGCAAUUUAACAAAGCCAAAACUUUAUUUUUUUCCAAAUCCCUUUCCUAAAACUGAAUCUGUCCAGCAGAAGUAACAGCAGACAAGAAACAGGAACACAGAAUUCUGCCUCCUCUAAGCAGUGAUGUGCAGCAAAUAAAACAAAGUCUCUUCUCGUUCUACCUGACACUGGCAUAGGUUCAUCCUCAUCAUCAUCAGGAGGAGGAGGGCCUGGAGGUGUCCUUGGUCCCCUGGGUUGUGGUCUUGGAGGACUGCCAUUGAACUGGUCUUCUUUCUCUCCAUCAACUGUAUUUAUUGGAAAAAUAAAAUCUUCCAUUUAAUAAAACCACAGGAAUAAAAGCAGAAAA